This 3218-nucleotide unclassified non-coding RNA is filed under the name Leishmania donovani. RNAcentral describes it as "gene:unknown". The record is from RNAcentral. Lineage: Eukaryota; Euglenozoa; Kinetoplastea; Trypanosomatida; Trypanosomatidae.
AUCUUUUCCGAUUUUCUGAGGAACUCAGACAGCACUCUUAUUCCUGCCAAAUGCCGAAAAACUUGUGCUGGUGAAAGGUUCAAGUAUGUACGACGUAGGAGGGGGAAGAUCAGAGCGACGUAAGGCUACUGAUACCGGCGGUGGGUUGGAGCCAUCUGCGACCGUGCGCACGCUUUCACCAUCCAUCCGCUGUGGGCGGAGUGCCCCCGUGUCUCGAACGUACCUGCCCGGCCCUCACACGGCCCUGCUGGUGGAGGGGAGUCUCAGUGCCACCCCGAGGGAGAGGCACCACAUGGCGAACUUCGAGGCUGCGGGUGACUGGUAGUGGCCGCACGGGGUGCAGCGCAUGUGGUGCCCCCGCUCCCCCCCCUCCACACCACCAGAGUCUUCGCCCCCCCCCCCCUGCGCGCUUGCUCCACGAGGGCGUCUGACCCGGCGAUGCGCCUGAUAUCGUAUGCGGGGCUCGCCUAUCGAUGGACGCUCACAGCAGCCCGUGUUUCACGCCAUGGACUUGCACGCGGUGAUGUGGGCACACAUGUCUCGCUUGCGCUGCACGGGCUUCCACUGCCGGGUGUCUGCCGCUGUCCUCUGUGCCCCUCAGCACGACGAGCCAUGAGCGCUGUGUGCGCAGACGCAUGUAUGUGUGCGGAUACCGGGGAAGGCGAAGCGCCGCUGCCGCCACAGACUCAGGGCAGCGCCCCGCCUGUCGCGGCACAUGCGGGCAAGGUAUCCAGGCACGCCCCCGGGCAACAACGCCGCCAUGAGGCAGGCACCGUGAUGCGGAAGUGCGAGCAGUGUGCGCCGGCGCUGUCAAGCACCGCUGGCAUGGUGUGUCUGAUGCGAGCAAAGCAUCCAGGGGCCGGCCGAGCACGGGCGAUGGGGGGAGGGGAAGAAGGCGCAUGCAGGGCCAUGCCGAUGCCCCCUCUCCCGCAGUGCAUGUGUGCGGAGCAUGCGGCGUCUCCUGCAUCCGACCGAGUGGGCUGAUGCGGCGCGGACGCCGGGAGGCAUGACGAGGGCACCCGGGACGGCACCACCGAGCCAUCGGGUGUGCACUGCGGAGAGCCGCCACGCCACAUUACGGGAUGCCGCGGUUGGAGCGGACUGGGGGGCGGGCGGGCGAAGCACGGCAUGCAGGCAGUGUGUGCCGGGCCUCAGAAGGACCCUGACCCCUGAGGCUUUCGAGGCUCCUCCUUGCGUUCGUGCGGCACGCACCUGGACCGCCCACCCACCACGUGCACGACAGGCGCCGAUCGCGCAGCGGGCACAGGAAGAGUAGGCGAUGAAGGGCAGGGCGAGCGUGCUGGACGCAUGGCGCGAUUCGACGAGCGGGAGAGCCACGUCCCAGGCGACGAGCAUUUAGCCCGAGUGCGACAGAGUUAGGUGAGCGGUGGCUGCAUGCCGAUGCUUGUCGACAUGUUCGUGUUGGGCCGACACACGCCGACAAGGAGGAAGCGUUUCUCCACACCCUCCGCAUCUUGAUUUGUAUUCUGUGUUUUAAUGUGUCGUUGCUGCCUGCAUGCGCGGCUCUAUUGUCACAUCGUUUUUGUUAUCCUUCAUAGUUCUCUUCUGUUUUGAGACGGAUUAGUCGGCCGGCUGGCGGAGUCGCCAUCAUCGUGGUGUGCUCUUAUUCGUGAUGAUCUUCUGCACCGCUUGUCUCGCUGUGUGAUUCGUGUGAGGCGGGCUUGCCUACGUUUUGAGGGACAUUUUUUUUGUCGUGUCUUUUUUUUUGUGCCUUUCUGCAUAUUAUGUUCGCUCGUGGCGGGGGGAGUGUAUGUGUGCAGCGCUUCAUUUCUCUGUUCCUACAUCUCUCCGUCCUUUCUUGAUGUUGCGGCCCCUCAUCGCAGAUGAAGCGUGCCGGUACUCUUCGCCCUUCCAGUGCGCAUCCGCUGUCUGCAAGAGCGAAAAAACCGGUGAAAGAAGGUUGCGGAGUGGGAGUAGGGAAGGCGGAAGGAGAGCGGAGGAGGGACAUCUGCAACGCACCUCGGUGCUCACAUGUGCUCCCGUAGCAUAGAUCAAGGAUAAAGUGGGGCGGAGGGUUGAUUCUCCCAUAAUGCCCAUGCGACACACGUGCGGCGGAACCUCCUAUGACUGAGGUGCUUGCCAUGGAGCCCGCACUACCGCAGGGGUGGGAACAGAGGGCAUGACGUACACACGCGCACAGACACACCGUAAAAGUAUUGGCGACAAAGAUGCCAAUAAACAGCUGUAUUCGUCAGUAGCGUUUUUUUUGUCUCCUCUGUUUGUUGUGCUUGAGUGCUCGUCUCACUCUCUCUCGCUCGCUCGCCGUCGAUGUGCGUUCAUGCGUUUUUUGGGGAUCGCGUAAGUCUGCCCUGACCUGCUCUAUUUUUUUUUGAAUGUUUCUCUUUUCUCGUCCAUACUCAUCCUGUCUCGAUUUGCUUACCGCGCCUGCACGCCUUCUUAGUGCGCGUUUCACUGUGUGGCUGAUGUCCCUCCGUUCCUCACUCUCUCUAUGCGCCCUCUUCUUUUUGUCCUGUGCGUCAUUUUUUUUUUCGGUGUUGCGCGUGUGCAUGCAUAUAUAUAUAUAUAUGUAUAUGUGUGUAUAUUGCUGUGUGCAUAUACUUGUGUACACAUGCGCUGGUAUGCUCGUGCUUGCGUGCUUCCGUCGUUGUUGUUUUCUGCCUGCGUCAUGUGUAUCGUAUGAGUUUGUGCCGUACUUGGAGACAAACCAAGAAAAGGAAAAGAGGGCAGUGUGCGUGCACGCCAAAUGCGUGUGACUGGACUCCAGCUGAGCGCAAGGGUCGGAACACGACCCAUGCACGCGAUUUGUGAGUGUAAGGGAGGACGCUGGAGUGGUGGGCUGACAAGCGGCACAAGCGCACGAACGUCUCCCAGGAGUGGCCCAUUGCCCCUGCCCUCAUCACCUUUUUGGGAAGGUGGGAUUCAUAGAAGAGACGGGGGAUGCUUGUGCACUGGUGUAACCGAGACUUGUCGCUCUGUGUAUCUCGUUGGUGGAGCCGUGGGUCACCCAGACUCCCGCUACCUCUCUCGUUGGGCAGGUUGCUCUACACACUUCUGUGAGCCCCUUUAAACUAUGUCUCCCCAUCUUUUCUGUUUUUUUUUUGUUUUUGUAUUUGCUAUAUCUUCUCGCAUGCGUGGCCCCCACUCUGUGCUGAUCUACCCUCCCUGUACCCACCCAACUCGUGCGCACGCAUGUACACAUGGCGGCGAUCGAACCCCCUUCCCCGUUCACUCGGAAG